AGAGUUGAUCAUGGCUCAGGAUGAACGCUAGCGACAGGCUAACACAUGCAAGUCGAGGGGCAGCAUAAAAGUAGCAAUACUUGGUGGCGACCGGCGCACGGGUGAGUAACGCGUAUGCAACCUACCUAUCAGAGGGGAAUAACCCGGCGAAAGUCGGACUAAUACUGCAUAAAACAGGGGCACCGCAUGGUGAUAUUUGUUAAAGAAAUUCGCUGAUAGAUGGGCAUGCGUUCCAUUAGGUAGUUGGUGAGGUAACGGCUCACCAAGCCGACGAUGGAUAGGGGAACUGAGAGGUUGGUCCCCCACACUGGUACUGAGACACGGACCAGACUCCUACGGGAGGCAGCAGUGAGGAAUAUUGGUCAAUGGGCGAGAGCCUGAACCAGCCAAGUCGCGUGAAGGAAGAAGGAUCUAUGGUUCGUAAACUUCUUUUGCAGGGGAAUAAAGUGCAGGACGUGUCCUGUUUUGUAUGUACCCUGAGAAUAAGGAUCGGCUAACUCCGUGCCAGCCGCCGC
Molecule: ribosomal RNA, 515 nt
Filed under: uncultured bacterium
Lineage: Bacteria
Description: bacterial SSU rRNA
Rfam family: Bacterial small subunit ribosomal RNA
Source: RNAcentral